CAGCAGAGGGCGUGGGCCUUCUCCUGGUAGAGUCUCUUUGUGUGAAACCUCUCGGUGCUGCUACUUGCCAUGUCCUAAUAGCUUCUCCAUCACACCCCCAACUGCUGGCGCCGCAGCAACAUUUCAGCUUUGGCUGCUCAUUAGAAUCACUUGGGAGCCUUUUAAAACGACCAGUGCUUGAGGCCCCACCCAGGACCAGUGAAGUCUGAAUCUCCAGGGAUGCGGAGAGUAGGUAUUGCUCCCAGACAAAGCCGUCCCACAACCAUUCACUUAGCCUUCUGAAACACAGCCCACACAGCCGUACCCAGCAAGAGCAAAGAAAACCAGGAGCUGGGGCUGAAUGGGAUUGAGUUCAUACAGCUAGUUCGCCAGGAAACUUUUCCAAAUCAAAACAUGCGAAGGUCAACAGUCAAUACUGGAGGAAACCCACAGUAAUUCAGAAAGCCAAGAUGAAAACUAUAAUCAAAUUCUGCUACCUGAGUGGCACAUGGUCUAAUGCACUGAUGACAAAACAGAAACCCCUAAUCAAGAAGUCAGCAUGCCAUGCAGGACAAGAGUAGAUGAAGUGUGGUGUCAACGUGGCCACAGAGCCGAACCAAGUGAGAACAGUGAAUGCUGCCAACAUCCCUCUGUUCCAGAUCUUUCUUUCUGAUGAACAGACUUGGAGAAGGUGGCGCAACAAGGCUCAUGAAGAGGAAAUCGCAUUCCUGUAGAUUUCUGCCGCGCCUGCACUGGGAGGAAGAUGGGAGGGUUCUGAAUCCGCAGAGAUGCCAGGAUCAGAUCCCUUUGAGUAUUUCGGUUUUUGAAUUGAUGAUGUGCCUCCUUCCAGAAAGCCUCAGCCGUGAGAGGCCUGUGAAUACUCUCAUCUUGUAUUUGAGCAGCUGGAGAAUCAGCUGGCAAGUUAGUUAUGAAGAUACAGAAAUGUCUCAGCACAGAGAACUAUUUGGUAUGACCCAAGCUUUCCUUUUUUGUCAGCUGGGAGGGUGUGCCACAGGGUUAGAUAACCCCCAAAGCACACUGCGUGGGUCUGAGUCACACGCAGGUGACCCAGAUAUACAAACUCACCACAUUCUCUUCAGCAUCUUGCACGUCACUUACAAAGCAAAAGGCUUUAUUUCUGUUUGCUUCCCUUCCGUUUUAAGAGCAUUUUCAUCUUUUUCCUACUUCACUGAUCAAAUUCCAUGCAAGCUCAACUAUAAAAUUUCCAAAGGACUGGGCGCAAGCCGGCUAACUCUGCAUUCAUUCCUAGGUUUCGUGUGUAUACGUGGCAAUCCUUCUUGUUUUGGGUUUGUAUCUAGUGUUACUCAGACUCACACCUAUUCAGUUGUUAAGACGAAUUCUACUCUCCCUCAUAAUUUGGAAUUUGUAAUGCGAAUUUUAUUUCAAUACUAAAAGUUUCAUACUGAAGGCAGAGAUACGGUGCUAAUAAUAAUUAUGAAAGUUUAAAUGGCUUUUGGGAGCUUAAGUAAAAGGAGAUAAUUUAUUUUUGAAACAUAUUAGAGUAAGGAACAGAGUGUCAGCAUUCAUGAGUUCCUUAACUAGAGCUAUUAACUAUUUCAGCUUGUCUCAGCAAAAAUUAUGAGAUAUUUGUAUCUGUUUCUCAUCUGGAAAAUGAAGGCACAUACCUAAAACAAAACCAACUAAGUUCUUAUGAACUGACCUGGACAGCAUUAUGAAAUGAUUAAAAAACAGACAAAUAGGGGCACAUUUAUAUAUAAAAUUCUUCUGAGCCUCCUUGUUGUAUUUUACAAGCGGGGAACAUAUUUUUAGAAAUCUCAAUAUGGCACAAAUAUUAUCUUACCAAAUAAAAUAUUUAACUGGUUUAUAUAUAUAUAUUAGGAGAUGAAGAGAUUAUUUAAUAUGUAUAACGCAUUUCAAAAUAAUUUAAGCUUUAGGAUAAAAGAUACUAUACAGUAAGGUGGUGUAAUCCCUGUCUUCCCCGCCAGAGAUUAAAAUUCCAUUUCUUUGUGAAGGUGUGUAUACUUAACCUUGGUUUAAAUCAUAUCAUGGUUUGAAAUGAUAUCUUUAGUUAUUUGUUUUUAUUUUUAUAUUAGAAGGCAUUUCCUAAGAAAUAAGAAACAGCUCCCAAAUUAUGUAUAUUUUUAAGUUGUAAUUUGAUCUUAGUCAAUUGUCCCAUUACUAAUACACGCUAAAAUUUAUUGACUUAAAUUCAUCAAA
Long non-coding RNA from Lutra lutra (Eurasian river otter), 2178 nucleotides. RefSeq lists it as uncharacterized. The record is from RefSeq and is a predicted model, not a curated record. The transcript is spliced from 4 exons. NCBI's taxonomy places the organism in Eukaryota, Metazoa, Chordata, Mammalia, Carnivora, Mustelidae.